This 468-nucleotide ribosomal RNA is filed under the name uncultured bacterium. RNAcentral describes it as "partial 16S ribosomal RNA". It matches the Rfam family "Bacterial small subunit ribosomal RNA", at positions 28 to 507 of the family's 1533-position model. The record is from RNAcentral.
GACGAACGCUGGCGGCGUGCUUAACACAUGCAGGUCGAACGGAAAGGCCCUGCUUUUGUGGGGUGCUCGAGUGGCGUACGGGUGAGUAACACGUGAGUAACCUGCCCUUGACUUUGGGAUAACUUCAGGAAACUGGGGCUAAUACCGGAUAGGAGCUCCUGCUGCAUGGUGGGGGUUGGAAAGUUUCGGCGGUUGGGGAUGGACUCGCGGCUUAUCAGCUUGUUGGUGGGGUAGUGGCUUACCAAGGCUUUGACGGGUAGCCGGCCUGAGAGGGUGACCGGCCACAUUGGGACUGAGAUACGGCCCAGACUCCUACGGGAGGCAGCAGUGGGGAAUAUUGCACAAUGGGCGGAAGCCUGAUGCAGCAACGCCGCGUGCGGGAUGACGGCCUUCGGGUUGUAAACCGCUUUCGCCUGUGACGAAGCGUGAGUGACGGUAAUGGGUAAAGAAGCACCGGCUAACUACGUG